Molecule: non-coding RNA, 486 nt
Organism: Triticum urartu
Lineage: Eukaryota; Viridiplantae; Streptophyta; Magnoliopsida; Poales; Poaceae
Source: RefSeq, a predicted model, not a curated record
ACACGACCUCUCGCCACACCCCCACGACCUCAUGCCUCGCGUCGUUCCUCCCGCACGACCUCGCGUCUCUGCGCCGUUCCUCCCACAGCCGGGCGCGGGCCGUAGGUCGCCGAGCCGCCGCCGGAGCCGCCCUUCGCCGCGGCCCGCAGGUCCCCCAGCCGCCGCCCCGGAGCCGCCCUUCGCCGCAGGGGUUGGUGUCGCACUCACCACGGAGAAGAUCGCCCAAGUACUUUAUACACAUACGCUGUAAACCAUCACCGUGCUGCGCCAAGAAGUGCCGCUGCCGCUUGGGUUCGCUAGCCGUCGCGUGGAGUCGCCCUGGUCGCCGUCUCGACUCACCUCCAUCACCACCACGAGUCAUCUUUGCCGCAGCCACCAGGAAUCCUGUCACCGGCAAGGGUGUGAGUCCAGUGACACACAACAUUCAAUUAUGAGGAUCAAGGAAAUUAUGAUCAUUCAGUCAUUGAUGAUAUGAAAAGAGGCAUG